This 300-nucleotide long non-coding RNA is filed under the name Eucalyptus grandis. Its description in RNAcentral is "long non-coding RNA (EGRA_LNC004999)". Lineage: Eukaryota; Viridiplantae; Streptophyta; Magnoliopsida; Myrtales; Myrtaceae. The record is from RNAcentral.
UUUACUAUAGCCAAAUGAAGAACUGCACACUUUGAUAUCUCAGGUGGCGAUGCCCAAUCCGCAACUACACUUGGACAAUGACAUGGUGUUUAUCUCACGUUCUAUCGCGAAAGUCUCAUCAACUAAAGUUAUAGAAAGACUCCUAUAACACUCCUUUCAUUUUGGAUAGCUCCUAGGAGUAAUGUGAAAAGGCCCAGAAAAAUGUCAAAUCAACGAGCUUCGUGCCCAAGCUGGGCGGUUUCCCCGUCGCCUGGCAAUGGGUACUGGCCACUUGCCAGACACUUUGGUGUUUGAGCACUC